Durio zibethinus is the source of this 1945-nucleotide non-coding RNA. The record is from RefSeq and is a predicted model, not a curated record. Lineage: Eukaryota; Viridiplantae; Streptophyta; Magnoliopsida; Malvales; Malvaceae.
CGUUAUUCCCUUACUCUCCUACUAUUGUUUUUUCCUCCAAAGUGAAACCGAAACCAGAACCAAAACCCCACAAAAAAACCAACUCUCACUCUCUCACUAUCUCAACUUCACUGUUUUUCUUUGGUUUUUUUGGAAUUUUCUCUCUCUUAGGUUUUGAGUUUUGUUGUUUUUUUCGUUUAAUCAUGUCUUCGACGUCCUUGUCGGAUCCAGGGAUGAAAGCGGAAGCCAGCGGCGGAGAGAAUUCGGAGACGGUGAUAGCAAACGAUCAGCUUUUACUGUACAAAGGAUUGAAGAAAGCGAAGAAAGAGAGAGGCUGCACUGCUAAAGAACGUAUCAGUAAGAUGCCGCCGUGCACCGCCGGCAAACGCAGCUCCAUUUACCGUGGAGUCACCAGGCAUAGGUGGACUGGUCGUUAUGAAGCUCACCUUUGGGAUAAAAGUACUUGGAAUCAAAAUCAGAAUAAGAAAGGGAAGCAAGUCUACUUAGGGGCAUAUGAUGACGAGGAGGCUGCAGCAAGAGCAUAUGAUCUUGCUGCUUUGAAAUACUGGGGUCCUGGGACACUCAUUAAUUUUCCAGUUGCUGACUAUACUAGGGAUCUUGAAGAGAUGCAGAAUUUGUCAAGAGAGGACUACCUUGCAUCUCUUCGAAGAAAAAGCAGCGGCUUCUCAAGAGGAAUUUCUAAAUAUCGCGGUCUUUCAAGUAGUCGCUGGGACUCAUCAUUUCGUCGUGUUGCUGCAUCUGAAUACUUCAAAGGCAUACCUUACAGUGAUGAUCCAGCAACAGAAAGUGAUUACUUAGGUGGUCUUUGCAUUGAGAGGAAGAUUGACUUAACAAGUUAUAUUAAGUGGUGGGGAACCAACAAAACUCGUCAAGCAGAAUCAGGAACAAAAUCUUCUGAAGAAACUAGACGUGCAUGCCCAGAAGACAUUGGCAGUGAACUUAAAACACCAGAGUGGGCAGUGCAGCCUACUGAACCAUACCAACUACCCCGCCUGGGCACAUCCCUUGAAGGGACAAAACGUAAAGGGUCCCCUGUCUCUGCCUUGAGUAUAUUGUCCCGAUCUGCUGACUUCAAGAGCCUGCAGGAGAAAGCACUGAAAAAACAAGAAAAAACUGCUGAUAAUGAUGAGAAUGAGAACAAAAACACUACAAACAAAAUAGAUCAUGGCAAGGCACCUGAAAAAUCAGUAAAUCACGAUAGUGAUAGACUUGGACCUACACUGGGGGUGAGUGGUGGAUUGUCUCUUCAGAAAAAUGUGUUCCCCUUGACUCCCUUCUUGUCUGCUCCACUUCUUACCAAUUACAAUACCAUUGACUCCUUGGUGGACCCUGUGCUUUGGACAUCUCUUGUUCCUGUUCUUCCUACUGGACCAUCUCGCAAUCCUGAGGUGGGUGUAAGUUUCAUCUAACUUUUGUCCCUUGGAAGAACUAGAAUAAGAUGAUAUAACUAAUAAAUAAAGGUUACGAAGACCGAGACUAGUUCAACAUAUACUUUAUUUCGGCCAGAGGAAUGAUUAAUUUGGGUGCAAAGCGAGGAACAUAUUAUCUUGAACUCUUCUUUUGGAGAUUUUUGCAGUACAAUAGUGUGCAGUAAACACAGGCAGUAUGGACAGCUCAGUUUGUCUUCAGAAUGAGACUUUUGCUUACUUAUACAGGUUUGUUACCUGAAUCCUGAGAGAGUAUAGGAAGAAAACUUUAGUGUAUAUUCUAUAGCAUGUAAGAUAAUAUCCCAAAAAUCAGAUGAGUGGAAUUGGUUUUUCAGUUGCGUAAUAAAUAAGAUAACUUAUAAACAAUAAAGGAGUUAGGUAUGUUAUUUGUCUUCUUCCUUUCUUACAACUAGCCAUGGGCCCGUUGAUGUAAGUUUAUUAUCUUGUUGUGUCCUUUUAACUGACAUGAACAAAGUGAGUAUGAUGAGUUUUUCUACUGCAAAAGAAAAAGCUAUGUG